GUUGGUGAUGGACAGGGAGGCCUGGUGUGCUGCAAUUCAUGGCGUCGCAAGGAGUCGUACAUGACUGAGCAACUGAACUGAACUGAACUGAACUGAACUAUAUCUGAAUACCUGCCUGUGGAGGGACAAAUGUAAGUCUGGAAAGAGUGUUUGCACUUUAUCAUCUUUGGAAAAGCAAGCAUUAGAAGAAUGGGAAUCUGCAGUAAUACAUUAUUUAUGUUAAGCUACCAACAGAUCCUUAGUUUCUCCUGGUUGUUUUAGAGUUGAAAAAACAUACUUUGCGUGUGUGACAUUUGUUACAAGAUAAUGCCAAGUAACUGUUAGAAAAAUUUACAUUUAGGUAUAAAAAUUUAAACGUAUGCCCCUUUUUUACAAGCUCUGUAUGCUCUAAAUGUGUGACGGGAUACUGGGUGCCACCGAUCUGCAGUGAAUCCUUAAACCCUUUGAAGUAGGUUCAGUUCAUUCAUGAAGAGCAGCAGGGGUUAAGAGCAAAUUAGUGAUGUGUUGUUCCCAUGUUCUCUCUCCAAAGGACUUGGUGAAUUUCAUCGAAGCAAAUUUUAAGAAACGGGAGUGCGUCUUCUUUACCAAAGAUUCCAAGGCCACGGAGAAUGUGUGCAAGUGUGGCUACGCCCAGAACCAACACAUAGAAGGCACCCAGGUCAACCAAAACGAGAAAUGGAAUUACAAGAAACACACAAAGGAACUUCCCACCGAUGCUUUCGGAGAUAUUCAGUUUGAGACUCAGGGGAAGAAAGGGAAGUAUAUCCGACUGUCCUGCGACACGGACGCGGAAACGCUGUACGAGCUGCUGACCCAGCACUGGCACCUGAAAACACCCAACCUGGUCAUUUCCGUGACUGGCGGCGCCAAAAACUUCGCCCUGAAGCCGCGCAUGCGCAAGAUCUUCAGCCGCCUGAUCUACAUCGCGCAGUCGAAAGGUGCGUGGAUUCUCACUGGAGGCACCCACUAUGGGCUGAUGAAGUUCAUCGGGGAGGUGGUGAGAGAUAACACCAUCAGCAGGAAUUCGGAGGAGAACAUUGUGGCCAUUGGCAUCGCCGCUUGGGGCAUGGUCUCCAACAGGGACACCCUCAUCAGGAAUUGUGAUGUGGAGGUAUGGGCAGGAUAUGAGGAGGUCUGCGGG
RNAcentral lists this long non-coding RNA (1141 nucleotides) under Capra hircus (goat). Its description in RNAcentral is "lncRNA (ENSCHIG00010027825.1)". Lineage: Eukaryota; Metazoa; Chordata; Mammalia; Artiodactyla; Bovidae. The record is from RNAcentral.